AUGAUGAUGAGGAAUUUGAACUCCCUGA
Molecule: non-coding RNA, 28 nt
Filed under: Cricetulus griseus (Chinese hamster)
Lineage: Eukaryota; Metazoa; Chordata; Mammalia; Rodentia; Cricetidae
Source: RNAcentral